This 253-nucleotide ribosomal RNA is filed under the name uncultured bacterium. RNAcentral describes it as "partial 16S ribosomal RNA". It matches the Rfam family "Bacterial small subunit ribosomal RNA", at positions 524 to 776 of the family's 1533-position model. The record is from RNAcentral.
UACGAAGGGGGCUAGCGUUGUUCGGAUUUACUGGGCGUAAAGCGCGUGUAGGCGGGCCGUUAAGAUGGGGGUGAAAGCCCGGAGCUCAACUCCGGAAUUGCCUUCAUGACUGGCGGCCUGGACUCAAGGAGAGGCAAGUGGAAUUGCGAGUGUAGAGGUGAAAUUCGUAGAUAUUCGCAGGAACACCAGUGGCGAAGGCGACUUGCUGGACUUGUAGUGACGCUGAGACGCGAAAGCGUGGGGAGCAAACAGG